RNAcentral lists this ribosomal RNA (253 nucleotides) under uncultured bacterium. Its description in RNAcentral is "partial 16S ribosomal RNA". It matches the Rfam family "Bacterial small subunit ribosomal RNA", at positions 524 to 776 of the family's 1533-position model. The record is from RNAcentral.
UACGUAGGGGGCAAGCGUUGUCCGGAAUCAUUGGGCGUAAAGAGCGUGUAGGCGGUCCGGUCAGUCGGUUGUGAAAGUCAAGGGCUCAACCCUUGAAUGCCGGCCGAUACUGCCGGGCUAGAGUCCGGAAGAGGUGAGUGGAAUUCCUAGUGUAGAGGUGAAAUUCGUAGAUAUUAGGAAGAACACCGGUGGCGAAGGCGGCCCACUGGAUCGGUACUGACGCUGAGGUGCGAAAGCGUGGGGAGCAAACAGG